UUUUUUUUUUUAAUUUUUAUUUAUUUAUGAUAGUUACAGAGAGAAAGAGAGGCAGAGACACAGGCAGAGGGAGAAGCAGGCUCCAUGCACCGGGAGCCCGACGUGGGACUCGAUCCCGGGUCUCCAGGAUCGUGCCCUGGGCCAAAGGCAGGCGCCAAACCGCUGCGCCACCCAGGGAUCCCGGAAAAGACCCUUUUUGAAAACAGGAUGCCAGGAUACUGGUGUCUAAGCAAAGCUCUGGAGGCAUCCUACCAAUUUGAUUCUUGAGGCUGAAGCUGAGAUCUAUUUUGAUUUCAGAAUGACCCACAAUCAUAGGCAGUUUAUCUGAUUGUGUGUUCCAAGUGAAACCCCAAAGCCUUCUAGGUGCUAGGAUUUGUAGGUGUGGUUUGUGGAUUUUAAAGACAGCAGAGAUAGUAUAAGAAAAAAGGAAAAAUAAAAAACAGGAGGUAGUUUUAGCAGAUUUGAACCUAUAUUGGUUCUCAAGAGAACAUACAAUUUUUACCUAGAGUCUCACUUCGUUCUGGAAUAACUGUUAAAAUACUGUUAACUGGUUACUGCUUCUACACUAGUAGUACAUUACUUCACUCUAGCCAUCAGGGGAAAAGUAUUAUUUUCUAUUUUUUAAAUAAUUUAUUUGUCUUAAAAAAUGAAUGGUAACAUCAAGUAGGCAUCCUUUUGAGUUGUUUUUAAAAAAAGGAAAGAAAAAAGUCUUGGUAUCUCUCUUCGUCAUGGUCAGACCCACUAUCUGCAAUAGACAAUGCAGAUAAGCAUGGCUAUAAUAAUAAUGAUGAUUUGUGAAUUUAUACAGAUUGUCUCUUUCUUCAGAGCAACUCAAAACAUUUUCUUUCCCAUAGUAUUUAAAAUAAGAUUUGAAAUCUCCUUGUCUUGUUGCAGAAAUGCCUUGCCUUCUCCUAAUCUGACGUGACAUGACUGGGUUCUGAUUGAAGGACCAAGCAGUAGAAGGUAAGCUCAUUCACAUCUUUCUUGCUCCACUUAUGCAUGUCUGUUGUGAGAUGCCAGGUGUUUGUCUAUUCUGCAAGCAGGUUUAUUGCCUGAAAAUGAGCUCCCUCUUUCUGAAAAACUUACUUUUGUAAAUAAAUCGUAUUAAAAAUAUCAGAGCAAAAAAAAAUAAAAAAAAUAACUUUUUGGCUUUACCAAAUGCUUUGACAUUUGUCCUUCCAAUCAUGUCUUUUAGCUCCAGGAUCUUAAAAUUUGGAAGCAGCUCCCACCUCAUAUCGCUUUUCUAUCAAAAUCAACCCCUGAAAGUUAAAUGGAUAUUUAACAAGCUGUCAGGUGAAACAGAAUAACACUGUGCUUUUCAAGACCCACCUACGGAUUAAAGGCUACCCUUCACAAUUUUAGUAAUCAUUUAAGUAAAUGUAACACCCAAGCCUAGAAACUGCCUCUCUCUGCACCACUGCAAUUCUUGAAAUCCUUUCCUGGCCUUUCAUGCAGAUGCUCAGAAACAGGGUGGGGCUCCUAGUCUUGCAUGCAAUGUUAAGGGAGUCUAUGCUGCAAAGAAAACUCAAUUAAUCGUUCAUAUUCCCGUUUUUCAGUAUCUUUCACAAAUAUCUUGGAAAUAAUCAUAUUUAGGAGUGCCAUUAUUUCUCAUGUUAAGAUUUAGAUUAAAAUAUUUAUAUCAAACUAAAUGUUAUCUGCAUGAGCAUGGAUGACAGGUAUUGAAAUGAAGGUGACAAGUCAAGGAAUCGGGAAAAACCUCCCUGAAGAAAAGAAGGGAAGAGGAAAUGGACUUCUGUUUAUGGAUGGCUGCAGGAGCUUUCUCUUUCUUUUAUUACUAUUAUUGUUUUUUUAUUGAGGGGGGGCCAGCAGGUACAGUUCUUUCAGAGUCUACAAGUAAAAUCCAACCCUGUAAGCCAUUCUGGUUCCCUUAUGAGUCAGCAGGCCACUGAGCAGUUCAGACAGUGCAGCCCAGAGUAAAUGGACAAGAGCUGUCUUUGGACACACCCAUUUUACUAAUCCUGACGCUGAUUUUUUUUUUUUAAUUAUCUUUAUGUUACUUGGUGUCUGACCUCAGAACUUGCAUCAAAAACUGCAGCCGUUCACCUCCACCAAAGACUCAGGCCCCAAUGUGGAAGCACUCUCCUUCAGCUCUUUUACUGACUAGCACAAUUGGAUUAGGGCUUAUCCCUCCAUGGGCAACUCCUGUUUCUUUUUCUCUCUAGUCUGCAUGUUAUCAGCUUGACAUUCCCUUCAGUGGCAUAUGACAAAUCAAAUUGCCCAUCAUUGCACUCAUCAAAGGAGGAUGUUUUCUAUUUCCGAGGACUGUUUCCUCCACUCCAUUCACAAUCAUGGACACAUCAAAAAAAAAAAAAAAAAG
Molecule: long non-coding RNA, 2338 nt
Filed under: Canis lupus familiaris (dog)
Lineage: Eukaryota; Metazoa; Chordata; Mammalia; Carnivora; Canidae
Description: lncRNA (ENSCAFG00000055363.1)
Source: RNAcentral